RNAcentral lists this ribosomal RNA (253 nucleotides) under uncultured prokaryote. RNAcentral describes it as "partial 16S ribosomal RNA". It matches the Rfam family "Bacterial small subunit ribosomal RNA", at positions 525 to 777 of the family's 1533-position model. The record is from RNAcentral.
ACAGAGGGGGCAAGCGUUGUUCGGAAUUACUGGGCGUAAAGGGCGCGUAGGCGGCCUUCUAAGUCGAACGUGAAAUCCCCGGGCUUAACCUGGGAACAGCGUUUGAAACUGGGGAGCUUGAGUGUGGAAGAGGGGGGUGGAAUUCCAGGUGUAGCAGUGAAAUGCGUAGAGAUCUGGAGGAACACCGAUGGCGAAGGCAGCCCCCUGGGCUAACACUGACGCUCAUGCACGAAAGCGUGGGGAGCAAACAGGA